This 259-nucleotide unclassified non-coding RNA is filed under the name Hevea brasiliensis (rubber tree). Lineage: Eukaryota; Viridiplantae; Streptophyta; Magnoliopsida; Malpighiales; Euphorbiaceae. The record is from RNAcentral.
CGCACAAUAUUGUUCAGCAGCUUCACUGUCCUCCAGCUUCAGGGCCAAAAUUUGAAGCACCAAUGUCUCUUGCCCUAACUUUCUGUAUAGAAUAGCCUUUUCGAGCCAUAACUCUGAUCCUUCAAUCAAGUCAAGGACCUCUUCUGGAUCAUAUAAGUCUGAUGAUAGUAAAAAUAUCUGCAACCUUUCACGUACAGGACUCUGAAAGAUCGACUUCAUACCGAAAUCAGAAAAUUUUGCCCCCUCUAACCUUUCAUCA